Molecule: small nuclear RNA, 107 nt
Organism: Otolemur garnettii (small-eared galago)
Lineage: Eukaryota; Metazoa; Chordata; Mammalia; Primates; Galagidae
Source: Ensembl
GUGCUUGCCUCGGCAGCACAUACACUAAAAUUGGAAUGAUACAGAGAAGAUUAGCUUGGCCCCUGCGCAAGGAUGACGUGCAAAUUCGUGAAGCGUUCCAUAUUUAA